Molecule: ribosomal RNA, 253 nt
Filed under: uncultured bacterium
Lineage: Bacteria
Description: partial 16S ribosomal RNA
Rfam family: Bacterial small subunit ribosomal RNA
Source: RNAcentral
UACGGAGGGGGCUAGCGUUGUUCGGAAUUACUGGGCGUAAAGCGCACGUAGGCGGCUUUGUAAGUUAGAGGUGAAAGCCCAGGGCUUAACCCUGGAAUUGCCUUUAAGACUGCAUCGCUAGAAUCGUGGAGAGGUGAGUGGAAUUCCGAGUGUAGAGGUGAAAUUCGUAGAUAUCAGGAGGAACACCUGCGGUGUAGACGGCUUACUGGACCACUUCUGACGCUGAGACACGAAAGCGUGGGUAGCAAACAGG